UUCUAAGGGCGUUGAAGCAUGAUCGCAAGGACAUGUGGAGCGCUUAGAAGUGAGAAUGCCGGUGUGAGUAGCGAAAGACGGGUGAGAAUCCCGUCCACCGAUUGACUAAGGUUUCCAGAGGAAGGCUCGUCCGCUCUGGGUUAGUCGGGUCCUAAGCUGAGGCCGACAGGCGUAGGCGAUGGAUAACAGGUUGAUAUUCCUGUACCACCAUUAUUCGUUUUAAGCGAUGGGGGGACGCAGUAGGAUAGGCGAAGCGUGCUGUUGGAGUGCACGUCCAAGCAGUGAGAUUGAGUGUUAGGCAAAUCCGGCACUCUUAAGAUUGAGCUGUGAUGGGGAGAGGAACUUGUUCCUCGAGUCGUUGAUUUCACACUGCCGAGAAAAGCCUCUAGCUAGAAUAACGGUGCCCGUACCGCAAACCGACACAGGUAGUCAAGAUGAGAAUUCUAAGGUGAGCGAGCGAACUCUCGUUAAGGAACUCGGCAAAAUGACCCCGUAACUUCGGGAGAAGGGGUGCUCUUUGAGGUUCACGCUUCGAAGAGCCGCAGUGAAUAGGCCCAAGCGACUGUUUAUCAAAAACACAGGUCUCUGCUAAACCGUAAGGUGACGUAUAGGGGCUGACGCCUGCCCGGUGCUGGAAGGUUAAGAGGAGUGGUUAGCGCAAGCGAAGCUACGAAUCGAAGCCCCAGUAAACGGCGGCCGUAACUAUAACGGUCCUAAGGUAGCGAAAUUCCUUGUCGGGUAAGUUCCGACCCGCACGAAAGGCGUAACGAUUUGGGCACUGUCUCAACGAGAGACUCGGUGAAAUCAUAGUACCGGUGAAGAUGCCGGUUACCCGCGACAGGACGGAAAGACCCCGUGGAGCUUUACUGUAGCCUGAUAUUGAAAUUCGGUACAGUUUGUACAGGAUAGGUAGGAGCCUUAGAAGCGUGAGCGCUAGCUUACGUGGAGGCAUUGGUGGGAUACUACCCUAAUUGUAUUGGAUUUCUAACCCGCAGCACUUAUCGUGCUGGGAGACAGUGUCAGGCGGGCAGUUUGACUGGGGCGGUCGCCUCCUAAAGAGUAACGGAGGCGCUCAAAGGUUCCCUCAGAAUGGUUGGAAAUCAUUCAUAGAGUGUAAAGGCAUAAGGGAGCUUGACUGCGAGACCUACAAGUCGAGCAGGGUCGAAAGACGGACUUAGUGAUCCGGUGGUUCCGCAUGGAAGGGCCAUCGCUCAACGGAUAAAAGCUACCCCGGGGAUAACAGGCUUAUCUCCCCCAAGAGUUCACAUCGACGGGGAGGUUUGGCACCUCGAUGUCGGCUCAUCGCAUCCUGGGGCUGUAGUCGGUCCCAAGGGUUGGGCUGUUCGCCCAUUAAAGCGGUACGCGAGCUGGGUUCAGAACGUCGUGAGACAGUUCGGUCCCUAUCCGUCGUGGGCGUAGGAAAUUUGAGAGGAGCUGUCCUUAGUACGAGAGGACCGGGAUGGACAUACCUCUGGUGUACCAGUUGUCGUGCCAACGGCAUAGCUGGGUAGCUAUGUAUGGACGGGAUAAGUGCUGAAAGCAUCUAAGCAUGAAGCCCCCCUCGAGAUGAGAUUUCCCAACUUCGGU
This 1587-nucleotide ribosomal RNA is filed under the name Staphylococcus pseudintermedius. RNAcentral's name for it is "partial 23S ribosomal RNA". It matches the Rfam family "Bacterial large subunit ribosomal RNA", at positions 1239 to 2824 of the family's 2925-position model. Lineage: Bacteria; Bacillati; Bacillota; Bacilli; Caryophanales; Staphylococcaceae. The record is from RNAcentral.